Molecule: long non-coding RNA, 790 nt
Organism: Drosophila miranda
Lineage: Eukaryota; Metazoa; Arthropoda; Insecta; Diptera; Drosophilidae
Exons: 2
Source: RefSeq, a predicted model, not a curated record
CCAAUUUCUGGUCUCUCCAUUUUUCUCUCCAUUUUGUAUUGUGUUUGUUGUCUUUUUUUCUUUUUUUAGUUUUCAACGAUUUAAAAUUCGAGCAAGGAAGGCUGACGGCUCAUGGGCAAGAACAGCAAUGGACAGAGUGGAGGCUUUUACGACGAACCUGGAAGAAAGAUUCACACCAUUCUGGACGACAUCUAGUUGAAGAGCAAUGAUGGUCACUGAGAGGCUGAAUGAGACCCACCAGAUGGAGCUCCCUGUGGCGCCAAUUACUUUUCAAGAAAUCUUGGAAGACAUAAAGAAACUCAAGUCCAAGAAGGCCCCUGGCGACGAUAGGAUUGACAAUGUUGUGGCAUAGGCGCUACCAAACAGAGCCAUUCUGUAUCUGUUGCUAAUCUUUAACGCGUCGCUAAGAUUAGUAUACUCUUCCAAAGCCUUGAGAUGUGCCCACAUAAUCAUGUUGCCAAAGCCAGGAAAGCCACCGGAAGACCUCAACAAACAUAGACCAAUUAGUCUCUUGUCAACUUUUGGCAAAAUGUUUGAGCGCUGCAUCCUACGAAGGGUACUGGAGUCGCCGCCGGUUAAAACAGCCAUGCCAAACUAUUAAUUUGGGUUCAGGCUUCAGCACAGCACAGCUCCAAAAGUAAUAGCAAACAACAAAUUGUAUUUUAAUAUUAUUAUUUUAUAAUCAAAUACAAUACAUAUGUAUGUAUCAUCAUCAUAACUAUCGCAUAGAAACGUGCGGCUUAGGAACAUCAAAAUGGAUGGUGGACUAAGUGGGAAAUUUUCGGAACGG